GGACUACUAGGGUAUCUAAUCCCGUUCGCUACCCUGGCUUUCGCUCCUCAGCGUCAGAAUCAGGCCAGAAAGCCGCCUUCGCCACCGGUGUUCCUCCGAAUCUCUACGCAUUUCACCGCUACACUCGGAAUUCCGCUUUCCUCUCCUGUCCUCAAGAGUUGCCGUAUCGCAGAUGAUUUCUCCGUUAAGCAGAGAAAUUUACUCCACGACGCGCAACCCAGCCUACGAGCUCUUUACGCCCAGUGAUUCCGGACAACGCUCGCCCCCUACGUCUUACCGCGGCUGCUGGCAC
This 292-nucleotide ribosomal RNA is filed under the name uncultured bacterium. Its description in RNAcentral is "partial 16S ribosomal RNA". The record is from RNAcentral.